Non-coding RNA from Zootermopsis nevadensis, 73 nucleotides. The record is from Rfam. NCBI's taxonomy places the organism in Eukaryota, Metazoa, Arthropoda, Insecta, Blattodea, Termopsidae.
GCCACGGUGGUCUACCGGUUAGAACGCUGGCCUUGUAAUCCUGGGGUCUCGGGUUCGAUUCCCGGCGGUGCCC